Molecule: non-coding RNA, 1188 nt
Organism: Camelina sativa (false flax)
Lineage: Eukaryota; Viridiplantae; Streptophyta; Magnoliopsida; Brassicales; Brassicaceae
Source: RefSeq, a predicted model, not a curated record
AUUUGACAGCUCUACCAAUUUGUAGGCCUGCCUCGUUCUCACUCAAGGCCGAGAUCACCCUGCAGGGGAAGAGGUCCAGCUGGAAGACGUAGAAUGUCAUCUUACUGCUCUAGUUCUCCAAGCCCCGUAACCGUAAGGGAAAGCGGUCCCGCUGGAAGACGUACAAAGCCUCUUCCUACUCUAGUUCUCCAAGCCUUUUCAGCUAAAGAAAUAAAGAUAUACCUUGCUUAGUUAUGUAUUGACGUCUACAUUGUGUGAACGUAUAGGCUCCUUAGAGGAUUUAGGAAGAAGCUCCCUGUCAAGUAAAUUGUAGGACGCUUAGUUUAGCCCAUUCCUCUGUAGGAACACUUAGCUAAUUAUCUCAUUCCUCUGCUUUGCUUCUUUGUUAGUUCUAAAAGCAUUGGUUGAGACCUUCACAUUACACUAGAUAUCUUUAUGCAAUUGGUGUCAAGUGGUGUAUGCCUGGUCCCUAGCUACAUUGAUAUCACAACUUUUCUAUCGGUGGCUAACAUUGAAAAACAAUGUAAAAACGUAUUGUCAUUGUUAUCUUGCAUCUACACUAGUUCAGGAGCUUGUGAUCAAACUUCAACAUACAGGAAACUGGAUCAUCAUUUCACUAGAAAAUCUCGUAUCAAUGUUUUACUUUCAAAUCUAGUUAAAAGAGAAAGAAACUAAUUUAUCUUGUGGGACUGUGCUACACGUAGGCCUUUGAGAGGAAGGAGCAGCAGCACCAACAGGGCAACAGGUAGCAGCAAAAGCUCACCGCCACUUCGCAAGAGCUAAUAAUUGUUUUCCUGCAAUCUCCAUUAAAAGGAAAAAAGAAAGUUUGAAGUGACCAAAAUGAGACUCAUGUUCUCAUUUACUCUGCUUGGAUCGUACGAAUAAGACUGAUCGGUCUAGUCAAGUGAAUCAGUGAUCUGACAACAACAACCACCACCUUUGUCUUUUGUCUGUUUGCUUGGAGUUAAUGUGGUUCAUGAUCUGAUGGUAACAAGGAAUUGAAAGUGGAGGUGGGAUCAUUAUGCAUUUUAGCAGAAGAUGAGAUUGAAAGCAGUAGUGGGAAUCAUGCAAUCUACACAUUGGUUCUCUCUUUUUUUUUUUUUGAACAAAAUUAAAAUAAAAUAAAAAUUGAAGGGACCACACACUGUCCAUAAGCACAACCACACAUGACACCAAGUUUAAAGUCUU